CCUAUGGGUGGCAGCAGUGAGGAAUAUUGCUCAAUGGCCGCAAGGCUGAAGCAGCAACGCCGCGUGAGGGAUGAAGGCUCUAUGGUCUGUAAACCUCUGUAGAGAAGGAAAAAUAACCCAUUAUAUGGGCUUGAUCGUACUUCUAGAGUAAGCCCCGGCUAACUACGUGCCAGCAGCCGCGGUAAUACGUAGGGGGCGAGCGUUGUCCGGAAUGACUGGGUGUAAAGGGUGCUCAGGCGGGUCGAUAAGUCAGAGGUGAAAUUUCACAGCUUAACUGUGAAUGUGCUUUUGAUACUGUCGGUCUAGAGUUCAGAAGAGGGCAAUGGAAUUCGUGGUGUAGCGGUGAAAUGCGUAGAUAUCAAGAAGAACACCAGUGGCGAAGGCGGUUGCCUGGUCUGUAACUGACGCUCAAGCACGAAAGCGUGGGGAUCAAACA
This 436-nucleotide ribosomal RNA is filed under the name uncultured prokaryote. RNAcentral describes it as "bacterial SSU rRNA". It matches the Rfam family "Bacterial small subunit ribosomal RNA", at positions 338 to 774 of the family's 1533-position model. The record is from RNAcentral.